This 311-nucleotide long non-coding RNA is filed under the name Pogona vitticeps (central bearded dragon). RNAcentral's name for it is "lncRNA (ENSPVIG00000012350.1)". The record is from RNAcentral. Lineage: Eukaryota; Metazoa; Chordata; Lepidosauria; Squamata; Agamidae.
AUGUCUCUUGUAAAGAAAGUCCUUCUUCUGUGUCUUUGUUGUCAGCAAAUGAGAACUAUCUCUUGGCAAAUGUGGAUGGGAACAUCCAGGAAAAGGAAGAGACUGAUAGAUCCACUGCAACAUUGUCUUUUGAAUACACUGCUCCUAUUGUAGAUACUUAUACUGAUGAAUGUUCAGUUGACUGUGUGAAGCAAAGAGAGGCAAGUCUUUUCAUUUUAUUUAAAAUACGUUGUUCUUAUCCUCUUUAUGGAAUGUAGAUGUGUACUUCUUUGGAUCUCUCCAUAAUAAAAUUUAGUGGAAAUAGGAUUUCA